GGGCUUGCGUCCGAUUAGCUGGUUGGCGGGGUAAUGGCCCACCAAGGCGAAGAUCGGUAGCUGGUCUGAGAGGAUGGACAGCCACACGGGGGCUGAGAUACGGCCCCGACUCCUACGGGAGGCAGCAGCAGGGAAUAUUGCGCAAUGGGCGAAAGCCUGACGCAGCAACGCCGCGUGGGGGAAGAAGGCUUUCGGGUUGUAAACCCCUUUUCUUGGGGAAGGGACGGUACCCAAGGAAUAAGCUUCGGCUAACUACGUGCCAGCAGCCGCGGUAAGACGUAGGAAGCGAGCGUUAUCCGGAAUUACUGGGCGUAAAGGGCGUGUAGGCGGCUUUCUAAGUCUCUGGUGAAAUCUCCCGGCUCAACUGGGAGGGCGCUGGGGAAACUGGGGGGCUUGAGGGCAGCAGAGGGGAGUGGAAUUCCCGGUGUAGUGGUGAUAUGCGUAGAU
Molecule: ribosomal RNA, 447 nt
Filed under: uncultured bacterium
Lineage: Bacteria
Description: bacterial SSU rRNA
Rfam family: Bacterial small subunit ribosomal RNA
Source: RNAcentral